AUGAUUUGUUCAACAGGUGAACCAGGAGAACCCAACACUCUUGAAGAAGCACUUGGAGAUGCUAAUUGGAGAAAGGCAAUGCAUGAUGAAACUGUGGCACUAAGGAAAAAUAAAACAUGGCACUUGGUCCCUUCAAGAAAAGGUAAAAAUCUUAUUGACUGUAAGUGGGUCUUUAGGAUAAAAAGAAAAGCUGAUGGAACCAUUGAUCGUUACAAAGCUAGACUCGUUGCAAAGGGGUUCAAACAAAGGUAUGGUAUUGACUAUGAGGACACAUUUAGUCCGGUUGUUAAAGCUGCUACCAUACGCCUUGUCUUGUCCAUUGCUGUGUCUAGGGGAUGGACUCUACGACAGCUAGAUGUUCAGAACGCGUUCCUCCAUGGUGUUCUGGAAGAAGAGGUUUACAUGAAACAACGUCCUGGGUUUGUAAAUGCACAGGCACCACUUCAUGUGUGCAAACUUGACAAGGCCUUGUAUGGAUUGAAACAGGCUCCAAGAGCAUGGUAUUCUCGCCUCAGUAAAAAGAUGCAAACACUUGGUUUUGUUCCUUCAAAAUCUGACACUUCGUUAUUUAUCUAUAACAAGUCAAGAAUAUCCAUAUUUGUUCUCAUUUAUGUUGAUGAUAUAAUUGUAACAAGUUCAUCUGAUGAAGCAAUAACAGCACUAUUGAAGGAUUUAAGUGCAGAGUUUGCUCUAAAGGAUCUAGGAGAUCUACACUACUUUCUUGGUAUUGAGGUCAAACAACACAAGAAUGGUCUUCACCUCUCUCAAGAAAAGUAUGCAAUAGACUUGGUAAAAAAGGUUGGCUUGCAAAGUUGUAAGUCUGCACCUACUCCUUUGUCUAGCACAGAAAAAUUGUCUCUUGUUGAAGGAGAGCCUCUGAAUUCAGAAAAUAGUACAAAAUACAGGAGCCUGGUAGGUGCACUUCAAUACUUAACAUUGACUAGACCAGAUAUUUCUUUUGCUGUCAAUAAAGUAUGUCAGUUUCUUCAUGCACCUACCACUGUUCACAUGACUGCUGCAAAACGUAUAGUAAGAUAUGUGAAAAACACAUUGAACAUUGGCCUAAACUUCAGCAAGUCAUCCUCUGCACUUGUCAGUGCCUUUUCUGACUCAGACUGUACUGGGUGUUUAGAUGAUAGACGCUCAACUGGUGGUUUUGCGGUAUUCCUCGGACCAAAUUUGAUAUCUUGGAGUGCAAGAAAGCAAGCCACAGUUUCAAGGUCCAGUACAGAGGCAGAAUACAAAGCAUUGGCUAAUGCAACAGCAGAGAUCAUAUGGGUGCAAUCAAUUUUAAAGGAACUAGGUAUAAAAAGCACUAGAGCUCCAUGUCUGUGGUGUGAUAAUUUAGGUGCCACCUAUUUGUCAGCAAAUCCAGUCUUUCAUGCUAGGACCAAGCACAUUGAAAUAGAUUUUCACUUUGUUCGAGAAAGAGUUGCAAAUAAGCUUUUGGAUAUUCGGUUUAUUCAUUCUCAAGACCAAGUUGCUGAUGGCUUUACCAAAGCUUUGCCUACAAGAGGUUUUGAAGACUUCAAG
RNAcentral lists this ribosomal RNA (1533 nucleotides) under Triticum aestivum (bread wheat). RNAcentral's name for it is "partial small subunit ribosomal RNA". The record is from RNAcentral. Lineage: Eukaryota; Viridiplantae; Streptophyta; Magnoliopsida; Poales; Poaceae.